This 580-nucleotide ribosomal RNA is filed under the name uncultured Actinomycetes bacterium. Its description in RNAcentral is "bacterial SSU rRNA". It matches the Rfam family "Bacterial small subunit ribosomal RNA", at positions 790 to 1368 of the family's 1533-position model. The record is from RNAcentral. Lineage: Bacteria; Bacillati; Actinomycetota; Actinomycetes.
GUAGUCCACGCCGUAAACGAUGGGUGCUAGGUGUGGGAGGUGUCGACUCCUUCCGUGCCGUAGCUAACGCAUUAAGCACCCCGCCUGGGGAGUACGGCCGCAAGGCUAAAACUCAAAGGAAUUGACGGGGCCCCGCACAAGCAGCGGAGCAUGUUGUUUAAUUCGAUGCAACGCGAAGAACCUUACCAGGGCUUGACAUGCACUGGAAAUCCGUAGAAAUACGGCCCUCCUUCGGGACCAGUGCACAGGUGGUGCAUGGCUGUCGUCAGCUCGUGUCGUGAGAUGUUGAGUUAAGUCCCGCAACGAGCGCAACCCCUGUCCCAUGUUGCCAGCGAGUGAUGUCGGGGACUCAUGGGAGACUGCCGGUGACAAAUCGGAGGAAGGUGGGGAUGAUGUCAAGUCAUCAUGCCCCUUAUGUCCUGGGCUACAAACGUGCUACAUUGGCCGGUACAAAGGGCUGCAAACCUGCGAGGGUGAGCGAAUCCCAAAAAGCCGGUCCCGGUUCGGAUUGAAGGCUGAAACUCGCCUUCAUGAAGGCGGAGUUGCUAGUAAUCGCGGAUCAGCAACGCCGCGGUGAAUA